This is a long non-coding RNA of Oreochromis aureus, 1361 nucleotides long. RefSeq lists it as uncharacterized. The record is from RefSeq and is a predicted model, not a curated record. NCBI's taxonomy places the organism in Eukaryota, Metazoa, Chordata, Actinopteri, Cichliformes, Cichlidae. The transcript is spliced from 2 exons.
CUGCAGUGAGUAAUAAAAGACAAAUGAGUAGAGGUACACUGCAAACAGCAUCUUACAAAGAAAUUCUCUACUUUGAAACACCACCAACUCAUAUACAGACAUAAAAGACCACAAAAAGAAAAAGCUUUAGCCUGGAACAAACAGCAAAAGAAACAAAGAGAGGAGGAAGGAAAUCCCUCAGAGAGACCUAGACCACCAGCACAGAGACAGAGAUCACUGUCGCAGUCCUUUCAAAUAGGCAAAGAAUAACCACAUAUCGCUUAUAUACGAUUUACCCUGGACCUGCCCUUGUAACUCUGAGAGUCCCGCGAGUGAGGAGUGGCGUGAGUGUGAGUGGCUGCAAAGGAAAGUGGAGAGGAAUUCCGAGAAGAGAGGAGUGUGUGUGUGGACCCCCUUCCUGUGCCUGAGUCCAUUUAAGAACUCUGACAUAAACAGUACAUCGUACUUGGCUCUAAAUUAGUUUUCAAAACGUUUAUUGCUUAAAAAUGCUCAAAACAGUGUCAGGGAUAUAUCAUUUUGCAGAGUUAACACAUUACAGUCUACAUUUUAAAUAUUUAAAUCAGUUUACAGCUCACUGAUAAAAGUCAAAUCUAAUUACUAUUUACUAUUCAGAUGGAAAAUAAAUGAAAAAAGAAGUGUCAUUAUUUCAUUUUAAACUUUUGAAUGAGAUAUUGUUGGAUUUAGGCCCCAGAGGUAAUGAUGGCAGAACAGGUGCAAGUCUGAACUAUAGCUUUGCUCUCCGUGUAUCCUGGUGGAUUUCCACUGUACCAAAAUGUAUCUUCAUCCUGUGAAGGGACAUUUGUUCUUCACAAUCAUGAUCAUUUUGACUUCCUGUAAGUCUUUAUCGGGACUGUAAGUCUUUUCUGUAUGUCUAUCCUUUUGAUCCCGGUUGUUUUCUACGUUGCCUAAUUAUAUUUACCACUUACCCCUACCCUCUGGGUCGUAACACUUAGUUAGGGUGAGUCAUAAUUUUAAUAGUGCUUCCCACUGUGCUGCAUCCUCAGCUUAUCAUCGUGUUUUGUACCUGAAUCCCUAAUAGGACCAGUGGAUGCAUUUCUUUGUUAAAUUGAUUUACAUUUUUCUGUAUAAUCAGUAAAGUUGCUUGUAACAGUUCUUGUACUCGACAUUUUCGACUGUUCGAUUUGUUUUUAAUGUAUUCAACAUUUUAGCAUUUACAGAUGUUUUAAAAUUAAAAUGGUGAUCCUGACUAUUACUAAUUGUAAAAAUCCACAUGUGGAAAACAAUUUCAGCUGAGUGCUUUGAUUCUUUGAUUCCUGUUCAUUUAUUGGUCAUACGGGUUUUCUGUUUUCAAAAAAUAAAGAGCAAAACAACAUAUAUAGAGAUCUUACUGACAGAUACAA